Callithrix jacchus (white-tufted-ear marmoset) is the source of this 1475-nucleotide long non-coding RNA. RefSeq lists it as uncharacterized. NCBI's taxonomy places the organism in Eukaryota, Metazoa, Chordata, Mammalia, Primates, Cebidae. The record is from RefSeq and is a predicted model, not a curated record.
GUAAGAAGUACUUUUCACCUUCCGCCAUGAUUGUGAGGCCUCCCCAGCCAUGUGGAGCUUACUUUUAAGAAAUGGGAAGAAUGCAAAAAUGGGCCAUCUGCAGCUUUCCAGAGAGACGAUGAAACCCCGUUGUUCCUUGCACAGGGUGGGGUGAGUGGAAUCUCCACUGGCAGGAAGCUGGGCUCCUUCAGAAGCCUCCAACAAUGGGUCUUAGAGAGAAGCAGCUGAAGCAUCUACAAUACCCAGCUCACCUAUACAAGAAAGGGCAGUAUAAGGGACGCUGAACGGAUCUACUAGGAAAACUGAGAAAGUCUAGGAAAACUGGGACUCUGACGAACUGGGACAAGGAACAUAACCUGUUUUAUGUAAAAUAUGCUUAAUCAUACCUUCUCUGCCAACCUCAGAAGGUCAUUAGAGGAAUGAACAAGCAGCUAAAAGGUCUUUUGCAAACUGCAAAUAUGAGGUAGAGCCCUGUAGUGUGCAGAGGUGGGGGUAUGGUACAGAGAGAUGCCUAAAGGAAGCCAAAUUAAAGACUCAAGUAGCUGAACAAGGAGAUACACAAACCAGAUCUUUAGGGCUUUAAAAAAUUAGUUACUAAUGAAUUAGUAAGUUAGACAAGGUUUUGUUUAUAGCCUACUUUUUGCAUCAUGCAGUUUACUAGACACUAUAGAUUCAGAAGAGAAAGACACAGGCCAUGUUCUCAGAGAUGCUGACAGAUUAUACCGAGAAGCCUGUAAAAAGACACACGUUAGUGCAAUAAGGUAAAAGCUGUUGUUUCCGUUACCUAACGCCUCGUAACAAAGUGCCCCACAACCUCAUGGCUGAAAACACCAAUGAGCACUUACUAUCUCUCACAGUUUCUAUGGAUCCAAAAUAGGAGCCACAUAGCUUGGUGGUUCUGGCUCAGGGUCUCUCGUGGGUUACAGUCAAGAUGUUGACCGGGAACACAGUCCUAUGAAGGUUUGGCCAUGGCUGAAGGAUGCAUUGGAGACAAUGGCUCACUUGCACACUGGCAAGUUGAUGUGGUUGAUAUGGUCUGGAUCUGUGUCCUCACCAACUCUCAUGUAGUCCCCAAUGUUGGAGGCGGUGCCUAGUGGUAAGUGGCUGGAUCACGGGGGUGAAAUUUUCAUGAAUGGUUUAGCACCAUUCUCUUGGUGCUGUUCUUAUAAUAGUGAGUUCUCAUGAGAUCUGGUUGCCUAAAAGUGUACAGCACCUCCCUGCUCACUCUCUCUUGCUCCUGAUCCUUGCAGGUGAGACAGCUGCCUUGCUCCCUUUUUUGCUUUCCAUCAUGACUGGAAACUUCCUGAGGCCUCCCCAGAAGCAGAAGUCACUAUACGUCCUGUACAGCCUGCAGAACAGGCUCUCUCUCUCUCCCUCUCUCUCUCUCUCUCUGUAUAUGUAUAUAUAUGUAUAAAUGCAUAUAUAUACACAAACAUAUACACAUGCACACACACAUACAUAUAUAUAAAUUACCC